GACAGAGGGGGCAAGCGUUGCUCGGAAUUACUGGGCGUAAAGGGCGCGUAGGCGGGAUGGCAAGUCGGUCGUGAAAUCCCUCGGCUCAACUGAGGAUCGUCGAUCGAUACUGCCGUUCUUGAGGAUUGCAGAGGAGACUGGAAUUCCCGGUGUAGCGGUGAAAUGCGCAGAUAUCAGGAGGGACACCAGCGGCGAAGGCGGCGCUCUGGGCCGGUACUGACGCUGAGGAGCGAAAGCGUGGGGAGCAAACAGG
This 253-nucleotide ribosomal RNA is filed under the name uncultured bacterium. RNAcentral's name for it is "partial 16S ribosomal RNA". It matches the Rfam family "Bacterial small subunit ribosomal RNA", at positions 524 to 776 of the family's 1533-position model. The record is from RNAcentral.